This 253-nucleotide ribosomal RNA is filed under the name uncultured bacterium. RNAcentral describes it as "partial 16S ribosomal RNA". It matches the Rfam family "Bacterial small subunit ribosomal RNA", at positions 524 to 776 of the family's 1533-position model. The record is from RNAcentral.
GACGGAGGAUGCAAGCGUUAUCCGGAAUUAUUGGGCGUAAAGCGUCCGUAGGUGGCGACUUAAGUCUGUUGUUAAAGCGUGCAGCUUAACUGCAUAAGGGCAAUGGAAACUGAGGCGCUAGAGUGCGGUAGGGGUAGAGGGAAUUCCCAGUGUAGCGGUGAAAUGCGUAGAUAUUGGGAAGAACACCAGUGGCGAAGGCGCUCUACUGGGCCGUAACUGACACUGAUGGACGAAAGCUAGGGGAGCGAAUGGG